Molecule: ribosomal RNA, 497 nt
Filed under: uncultured bacterium
Lineage: Bacteria
Description: partial 16S ribosomal RNA
Rfam family: Bacterial small subunit ribosomal RNA
Source: RNAcentral
GAUGAACGCUGGCGGCGUGCCUAAUACAUGCAAGUCGAGCGGACGGACGAGAAGCUUGCUUCUCUGAUGUUAGCGGCGGACGGGUGAGUAACACGUGGAUAACCUACCUAUAAGACUGGGAUAACUUCGGGAAACCGGAGCUAAUACCGGAUAAUAUUUUGAACCGCAUGGUUCAAAAGUGAAAGACGGUCUUGCUGUCACUUAUAGAUGGAUCCGCGCUGCAUUAGCUAGUUGGUAAGGUAACGGCUUACCAAGGCAACGAUGCAUAGCCGACCUGAGAGGGUGAUCGGCCACACUGGAACUGAGACACGGUCCAGACUCCUACGGGAGGCAGCAGUAGGGAAUCUUCCGCAAAGGGCGAAAGCCUGACGGAGCAACGCCGCGUGAGUGAUGAAGGUCUUCGGAUCGUAAAACUCUGUUAUUAGGGAAGAACAUAUGUGUAAGUAACUGUGCACAUCUUGACGGUACCUAAUCAGAAAGCCACGGCUAACUACGUG